UAUUUACAGAUAGAAUCACGAGAAGAAGUGGUUUUAAUUUAUUUAAAAACAGAUUGUAUCACGAGAAGAAGUGGUAAAAGUAAAGAAAUCCUUUUAAUUGAAAAUUUAGAGAUUGUAUCACGAAAAGAAGUGGUUGUAAUUUAUUUAAAACAGAUUGAAUCACGAGAAGAAGUGGUUGCAGUUCAUUUAGAAACAGAUUGUAUCACGAGAAGAAGUGAAAAAAUAUUUCUGUGCUCUAAGAUAAAAAUUGAAAUAGUAAUGAAAAAAUCAAUAAAAACAACUCGAUCUGCUAAAUCACAUUAUAUUAGAAGAGUAGUAAAGCAACAUUUAAAUGAAAUUCACUCAACAAGUAAUGUUGAAAAUACGAAUGAAUUACUUAACUGUGGAAAUUCAAUAAACUUCAGUGAUGAGUCUAUUAACCAUAAUAUGUUAUAUCAAAAUUCUUAUAAUUAUUUGGCUGAAGACACAUUAAAAUCCUCAAAUUUGAGUUUGGUGACAUAUCAUAUUUUGAUGAAAACCAACCCUCGAAUUUGACUAAUAGUUUUGAUGAUGACUGUAACAUAACUGAUGAUGAGCAUGGCUACUAUCCUUCAUGUUCCAGUGACAAUGAAGAGGCUCAGGAUGAAGUUACUUUGAAAGAACUGCUUAUUUGCUGUAAAAUUGAAGAUGACAGCAAAAAUUAAAAAAUUCGCUGUGGCUGAAUUUCUUGAUGAAAAAAAAAAAAGUUUGUGUGCCAUGGACGUUAUCUGUUCGUCAUGGCUGAUCAAUGAAAGUUUAGUGUUUUGACCCAAUCAUUUGAGAUCAUCUCGCCUUUUAACUGCCAUACGCGAAGCCACACUUACUCCUGAAAGUAAUUGGAAACAGUUAAAAAUAAGAAUUCUUUAUUAUUCUGACAGUUAUGAAACUGCUGUAGAACGAAUGGAAACAUUAGAAUUCACAUCAAGCGUUGAAACAGCUGCUGAAAGUGAUGAAGAAUUGUCUAUGCCACCAGCUAAAAAGUUAGCAGUUUGCAAUACAAGUGACACUGAGGUUUAUCCAUCAGUUUCCCCAAGAUUGAAGAAAUCUUUUAAUUGCCAAAAUAUUUUACAACCCACAACUGUUUGAUAUAUUGAGCCAUUUAGUUCGAAUCAUUCUAUACCGAUAUCUUCCUCUUCUGACCAGAGCUUGGCAACUGUUGUGGCUGCUUUAGGCACCCGAUUUUCUGCAUUUGAGAAGAAAAGUUUAGAGCUGCUUGUCAGUAUUCAAUAUGAUUUAAAAAAGUUAAACACUUGCCUAAUCAAUUUAGAAAAAAGCUUAGUGUUUCCUUCUACUGUUAGCAAUCAGAGCAUAGCAGGACCAUCCCCAUCAGUUCAAUGGAAUUAUUUGCCUGUUAAAGAGGAAAAAGAACUUUUAGACCUGGAUGAAAAAUUAUAGAACAAAGACACCUAUGAAUCUUUGAUGAACUUCCUUGCAUCGGUUGGAGGCGACGAUUACAAGCAACUUACCACGGCUAUUUUAAAACAACUAUUGACUAAAAAAGUAUGCUUGUUAUAUUCUUUGUAUGGCAGGAAACAAAAGAAAUCCUUUUCGUCUCUUACGUCCUGCAAGGUGGUUAUAGCUGCCAUAAAAAAAAAGUUUGAAAACGCUAAUGAUAAGAGCAUUAAAGAAAGAAUCGGCAGCUUUCUGGCUACGGCCAUUGAUAGAGACGGCGGAAGAAAGAAUAGAACCGCAAUUGAGCAAAGCCCACUUUUGAGCGAUGAAAAUGAAUGUCGCGAAGAUAAUGCCCAUUAACUGAUAGUGAAUCAAUGCCCAUUAUCUGAUAGUGAGGGUGUAAUGUAAUAAAUAUAAUAUAUAUAUA
Non-coding RNA from Hydra vulgaris (swiftwater hydra), 1837 nucleotides. The record is from RefSeq and is a predicted model, not a curated record. NCBI's taxonomy places the organism in Eukaryota, Metazoa, Cnidaria, Hydrozoa, Anthoathecata, Hydridae.